RNAcentral lists this ribosomal RNA (166 nucleotides) under uncultured bacterium. Its description in RNAcentral is "partial 16S rRNA". It matches the Rfam family "Bacterial small subunit ribosomal RNA", at positions 353 to 511 of the family's 1533-position model. The record is from RNAcentral.
UAGGGGAAAUCUUCCACAAUGGGCGAAAGCCCGAUGGAGCAACGCCGCGUGUGUGAUGAAGGGUUUCGGCUCGUAAAACACUGUUGUAAGAGAAGAAUGACAUUGAGAGUAACUGUUCAAUGUGUGACGGUAUCUUACCAGAAAGGAACGGCUAAAUACGUGCCAG